UCCGGAAUGGUGUAGUGGCUAGCAUUUCUGCCUCUCAUUGACUGUUGAAUCAGACAGUUGAAGUGGUCGCAGGAGACCGGGGUUCAAUUCCCCGUUCCGGAA
Non-coding RNA from Cadophora gregata, 102 nucleotides. The record is from the annotation of a RefSeq genome assembly. NCBI's taxonomy places the organism in Eukaryota, Fungi, Ascomycota, Leotiomycetes, Helotiales, Ploettnerulaceae.